UGGGGAAUAUUGCGCAAUGGGGGAAACCCUGACGCAGCCAUGCCGCGUGAGUGAAGAAGGUCUUCGGAUCGUAAAGCUCUUUCAACGGUGAAGAUGAUGACGGUAGCCGUAGAAGAAGCCCCGGCUAACUUCGUGCCAGCAGCCGCGGUAAUACGAAGGGGGCAAGCGUUGUUCGGAAUUACUGGGCGUAAAGGGCGUGUAGGCGGUCUAAUCAGUCAGUGGUGAAAGCCCUGGGCUCAACCCAGGAAUUGCCUUUGAUACUGUUAGACUAGAGACCGGAAGAGGUUAGGGGAAUACCUAGUGUAGAGGUGAAAUUCGUAGAUAUUAGGUGGAACACCAGUGGCGAAGGCGCCUAACUGGUCCGGUACUGACGCUGAGGAACGAAAGCGUGGGGAGCAAACAGGAUUAGAUACCCUGGUAGUCCACGCCG
This 430-nucleotide ribosomal RNA is filed under the name uncultured bacterium. RNAcentral's name for it is "bacterial SSU rRNA". It matches the Rfam family "Bacterial small subunit ribosomal RNA", at positions 355 to 802 of the family's 1533-position model. The record is from RNAcentral.